AACCUUAUCAUUUAGAGGAAGGAGAAGUCGUAACAAGGUUUCCGUAGGUGAACCUGCGGAAGGAUCAUUGUCGAAACCUGCAGAGCAGAACGACCCGCGAACACGUAAAAAAGAAAACGACCGAGGGGCGCGUCCGUGUCGCGGUCGCGACGUCUGCGCGCUCCCCCGGUCCGAACAACAAACCCGGCGCGGCAAGCGCCAAGGAAAUUCAACGGAAGAGGCACGUCCCCGCGGUCGCGGCGCGGCGUGCGACUCCGACUCUAUAACGACUCUCGGCAAUGGAUAUCUCGGCUCUCGCAUCGAUGAAGAACGUAGCGAAAUGCGAUACUUGGUGUGAAUUGCAGAAUCCCGUGAACCAUCGAGUUUUUGAACGCAAGUUGCGCCCGAGGCCGUCAGGCCGAGGGCACGCCUGCCUGGGCGUCACGCAAAGCGUAGCUCCCCGCCAAAGUGUCCUCACCGCGGCAGGGACGCUGAUACUGGCCCCCCGUGCCCCCGAGGCGCGGUCGGCCCAAAUAUCGGUCCGCGGAGGCGGGCGUCGCGGCCAGUGGUGGUUGAGAAACCCCUUUGUCAUUGACCGGCGCCGCGCCGACCUCCCUCCGAGGCGGGCCGCCAGAACCCUUGCGCGCCGUCCCGACGGCGUUCACCCUGCGACCCCAGGUCAGGCGGGAUUACCCGCUGAAUUUAAGCA
This 688-nucleotide ribosomal RNA is filed under the name Plagiorhegma dubium. RNAcentral's name for it is "eukaryotic LSU rRNA". The stretch from base 268 to 423 matches the Rfam family "5.8S ribosomal RNA". Lineage: Eukaryota; Viridiplantae; Streptophyta; Magnoliopsida; Ranunculales; Berberidaceae. The record is from RNAcentral.